GGUUAAGCGACUAAGCGUACACGGUGGAUGCCCUGGCAGUCAGAGGCGAUGAAGGACGUGCUAAUCUGCGAUAAGCGUCGGUAAGGUGAUAUGAACCGUUAUAACCGGCGAUUUCCGAAUGGGGAAACCCAGUGUGAUUCGUCACACUAUCAUUAACUGAAUCCAUAGGUUAAUGAGGCGAACCGGGGGAACUGAAACAUCUAAGUACCCCGAGGAAAAGAAAUCAACCGAGAUUCCCCCAGUAGCGGCGAGCGAACGGGGAGCAGCCCAGAGCCUGAAUCAGUGUGUGUGUUAGUGGAAGCGUCUGGAAAGGCGCGCGAUACAGGGUGACAGCCCCGUACACAAAAAUGCACAUGCUGUGAGCUCGAUGAGUAGGGCGGGACACGUGGUAUCCUGUCUGAAUAUGGGGGGACCAUCCUCCAAGGCUAAAUACUCCUGACUGACCGAUAGUGAACCAGUACCGUGAGGGAAAGGCGAAAAGAACCCCGGCGAGGGGAGUGAAAAAGAACCUGAAACCGUGUACGUACAAGCAGUGGGAGCACAGAGCAAUCUGUGUGACUGCGUACCUUUUGUAUAAUGGGUCAGCGACUUAUAUUCUGUAGCAAGGUUAACCGAAUAGGGGAGCCGAAGGGAAACCGAGUCUUAACUGGGCGUUAAGUUGCAGGGUAUAGACCCGAAACCCGGUGAUCUAGCCAUGGGCAGGUUGAAGGUUGGGUAACACUAACUGGAGGACCGAACCGACUAAUGUUGAAAAAUUAGCGGAUGACUUGUGGCUGGGGGUGAAAGGCCAAUCAAACCGGGAGAUAGCUGGUUCUCCCCGAAAGCUAUUUAGGUAGCGCCUCGUGAAUUCAUCUCCGGGGGUAGAGCACUGUUUCGGCAAGGGGGUCAUCCCGACUUACCAACCCGAUGCAAACUGCGAAUACCGGAGAAUGUUAUCACGGGAGACACACGGCGGGUGCUAACGUCCGUCGUGAAGAGGGAAACAACCCAGACCGCCAGCUAAGGUCCCAAAGUCAUGGUUAAGUGGGAAACGAUGUGGGAAGGCCCAGACAGCCAGGAUGUUGGCUUAGAAGCAGCCAUCAUUUAAAGAAAGCGUAAUAGCUCACUGGUCGAGUCGGCCUGCGCGGAAGAUGUAACGGGGCUAAACCAUGCACCGAAGCUGCGGCAGCGACGCUGAUGCGUUGUUGGGUAGGGGAGCGUUCUGUAAGCCUGCGAAGGUGUGCUGUGAGGCAUGCUGGAGGUAUCAGAAGUGCGAAUGCUGACAUAAGUAACGAUAAAGCGGGUGAAAAGCCCGCUCGCCGGAAGACCAAGGGUUCCUGUCCAACGUUAAUCGGGGCAGGGUGAGUCGACCCCUAAGGCGAGGCCGAAAGGCGUAGUCGAUGGGAAACAGGUUAAUAUUCCUGUACUUGGUGUUACUGCGAAGGGGGGACGGAGAAGGCUAUGUUGGCCGGGCGACGGUUGUCCCGGUUUAAGCGUGUAGGCUGGUUUUCCAGGCAAAUCCGGAAAAUCAAGGCUGAGGCGUGAUGACGAGGCACUACGGUGCUGAAGCAACAAAUGCCCUGCUUCCAGGAAAAGCCUCUAAGCAUCAGGUAACAUCAAAUCGUACCCCAAACCGACACAGGUGGUCAGGUAGAGAAUACCAAGGCGCUUGAGAGAACUCGGGUGAAGGAACUAGGCAAAAUGGUGCCGUAACUUCGGGAGAAGGCACGCUGAUAUGUAGGUGAAGUCCCUCGCGGAUGGAGCUGAAAUCAGUCGAAGAUACCAGCUGGCUGCAACUGUUUAUUAAAAACACAGCACUGUGCAAACACGAAAGUGGACGUAUACGGUGUGACGCCUGCCCGGUGCCGGAAGGUUAAUUGAUGGGGUCAGCGCAAGCGAAGCUCUUGAUCGAAGCCCCGGUAAACGGCGGCCGUAACUAUAACGGUCCUAAGGUAGCGAAAUUCCUUGUCGGGUAAGUUCCGACCUGCACGAAUGGCGUAAUGAUGGCCAGGCUGUCUCCACCCGAGACUCAGUGAAAUUGAACUCGCUGUGAAGAUGCAGUGUACCCGCGGCAAGACGGAAAGACCCCGUGAACCUUUACUAUAGCUUGACACUGAACAUUGAGCCUUGAUGUGUAGGAUAGGUGGGAGGCUUAGAAGUGUGGACGCCAGUCUGCAUGGAGCCGACCUUGAAAUACCACCCUUUAAUGUUUGAUGUUCUAACGUUGACCCGUGAUCCGGGUUGCGGACAGUGUCUGGUGGGUAGUUUGACUGGGGCGGUCUCCUCCUAAAGAGUAACGGAGGAGCACGAAGGUUGGCUAAUCCUGGUCGGACAUCAGGAGGUUAGUGCAAUGGCAUAAGCCAGCUUGACUGCGAGCGUGACGGCGCGAGCAGGUGCGAAAGCAGGUCAUAGUGAUCCGGUGGUUCUGAAUGGAAGGGCCAUCGCUCAACGGAUAAAAGGUACUCCGGGGAUAACAGGCUGAUACCGCCCAAGAGUUCAUAUCGACGGCGGUGUUUGGCACCUCGAUGUCGGCUCAUCACAUCCUGGGGCUGAAGUAGGUCCCAAGGGUAUGGCUGUUCGCCAUUUAAAGUGGUACGCGAGCUGGGUUUAGAACGUCGUGAGACAGUUCGGUCCCUAUCUGCCGUGGGCGCUGGAGAACUGAGGGGGGCUGCUCCUAGUACGAGAGGACCGGAGUGGACGCAUCACUGGUGUUCGGGUUGUCAUGCCAAUGGCACUGCCCGGUAGCUAAAUGCGGAAGAGAUAAGUGCUGAAAGCAUCUAAGCACGAAACUUGCCCCGAGAUGAGUUCUCCCUGACUCCUUGAGAGUCCUGAAGGAACGUUGAAGACGACGACGUUGAUAGGCCGGAUGUGUAAGCGCAGCGAUGCGUUGAGCUAACCGGUACUAAUGAACCGUGAGGCUUAACCUU
Molecule: ribosomal RNA, 2906 nt
Filed under: Escherichia coli
Lineage: Bacteria; Pseudomonadati; Pseudomonadota; Gammaproteobacteria; Enterobacterales; Enterobacteriaceae
Description: 23S ribosomal RNA
Rfam family: Bacterial large subunit ribosomal RNA
Source: RNAcentral